Molecule: ribosomal RNA, 771 nt
Filed under: Myrothecium cf. roridum 270/HP2
Lineage: Eukaryota; Fungi; Ascomycota; Sordariomycetes; Hypocreales; Stachybotryaceae
Description: SSU rRNA
Rfam family: Eukaryotic small subunit ribosomal RNA
Source: RNAcentral
AUUUCAACAUACUUAUUUAUNNNGAGGAUGGUUGGUGAUUCAUGAUAACUUCUCGAAUCGCAUGGCCUUGUGCCGGCGAUGGUUCAUUCAAAUUUCUUCCCUAUCAACUUUCGAUGUUUGGGUAUUGGCCAAACAUGGUUGCAACGGGUAACGGAGGGUUAGGGCUCGACCCCGGAGAAGGAGCCUGAGAAACGGCUACUACAUCCAAGGAAGGCAGCAGGCGCGCAAAUUACCCAAUCCCGACACGGGGAGGUAGUGACAAUAAAUACUGAUACAGGGCUCUUUUGGGUCUUGUAAUUGGAAUGAGUACAAUUUAAAUCCCUUAACGAGGAACAAUUGGAGGGCAAGUCUGGUGCCAGCAGCCGCGGUAAUUCCAGCUCCAAUAGCGUAUAUUAAAGUUGUUGUGGUUAAAAAGCUCGUAGUUGAACCUUGGGCCUGGCUGGCCGGUCCGCCUCACCGCGUGUACUGGUCCGGCCGGGCCUUUCCCUCUGUGGAACCCCAUGCCCUUCACUGGGUGUGGCGGGGAAACAGGACUUUUACUUUGAAAAAAUUAGAGUGCUCCAGGCAGGCCUAUGCUCGAAUACAUUAGCAUGGAAUAAUAGAAUAGGACGUGUGGUUCUAUUUUGUUGGUUUCUAGGACCGCCGUAAUGAUUAAUAGGGACAGUCGGGGGCAUCAGUAUUCAAUUGUCAAAGGUGAAAUUCUUGGAUUUAUUGAAGACUAACUACUGCGAAAGCAUUUGCCAAGGAUGUUUUCAUUAAUCANGAACGAAG